GCCAUAGCUCAGUGGCAGAGCCACGCUUCACGUACAGGACAUCCCAGGUUCAAUUCCUGGUAUCACCA
Molecule: non-coding RNA, 68 nt
Organism: Podarcis lilfordi (Lilford's wall lizard)
Lineage: Eukaryota; Metazoa; Chordata; Lepidosauria; Squamata; Lacertidae
Source: the annotation of a GenBank genome assembly